Molecule: ribosomal RNA, 529 nt
Filed under: uncultured bacterium
Lineage: Bacteria
Description: bacterial SSU rRNA
Rfam family: Bacterial small subunit ribosomal RNA
Source: RNAcentral
CCUACGGGAGGCAGCAGUAAGGAAUAUUGGACAAUGCUCGCAAGAGUGAUCCAGCCAUGCCGCGUGCAGGAAGAAUGCCCUAUGGGUAGUAAACUGCUUUUGAACUAGAGAAAACCCCAGUACGUGUACUGGGCUGAUAGUAUAGUUAGAAUAAGCAUCGGCUAACUUCGUGCCAGCAGCCGCGGUAAGACGAAGGAUGCAAGCGUUAUCCGGAUUCAUUGGGUUUAAAGGGAGCGUAGGUGGACUGAUAAGUCAGUGGUGAAAUCUCCGAGCUUAACUCGGAAAUUGCCAUUGAUACUGUUGGUCUUGAGUACAGUUGCUGUGGGCGGAAUAUGACAUGUAGUGGUGAAAUACAUAGAGAUGUCAUAGAACACCGAUUGCGAAGGCAGCUCACAAAGCUGUAACUGACACUGAGGCUCGAAAGUGCGGGGAUCAAACAGGAUUAGAUACCCUGGUAGUCCGCACCGUAAACGAUGAUUACUCNCNNGUGGGCGACGUUAGUGUGUAGNGAGAGAAGUAGUAAUUACAC